AGGCCGAAAGGCGUAGUCGAUGGGAAACAGGUUAAUAUUCCUGUACUUGGUGUUACUGCGAAGGGGGGACGGAGAAGGCUAUGUUAGCCGGGCGACGGUUGUCCCGGUUUAAGCAUGUAGGCUGGUUGUCCAGGCAAAUCCGGAUAACCAAGGCUGAGGUGUGAUGACGAGGCACUACGGUGCUGAAGUAACAAAUGCCCUGCUUCCAGGAAAAGCCUCUAAGCAUCAGGUAACAUCAAAUCGUACCCCAAACCGACACAGGUGGUCAGGUAGAGAAUACCAAGGCGCUUGAGAGAACUCGGGUGAAGGAACUAGGCAAAAUGGUGCCGUAACUUCGGGAGAAGGCACGCUGGUGUGUAGGUGAAGCCCCUGCGGGUGGAGCUGAGACCAGUCGAAGAUACCAGCUGGCUGCAACUGUUUAUUAAAAACACAGCACUGUGCAAACACGAAAGUGGACGUAUACGGUGUGACGCCUGCCCGGUGCCGGAAGGUUAAUUGAUGGG
RNAcentral lists this ribosomal RNA (503 nucleotides) under Klebsiella pneumoniae. RNAcentral describes it as "partial 23S ribosomal RNA". It matches the Rfam family "Bacterial large subunit ribosomal RNA", at positions 1399 to 1888 of the family's 2925-position model. Lineage: Bacteria; Pseudomonadati; Pseudomonadota; Gammaproteobacteria; Enterobacterales; Enterobacteriaceae. The record is from RNAcentral.